AGAGUUUGAUCCUGGCUCAGGAUGAACGCUGGCGGCGUGCUUAACACAUGCAAGUCGAACGAACCUUCGGGUUAGUGGCGGACGGGUGAGUAACGCGUGGGAAUCUGCCCUCAGGAGGGGGAUAACGGUUGGAAACGACCGCUAAUACCCCAUAUGCCGAGAGGUGAAAUGAAUUUCGCCUGAGGAUGAGCCCGCGUCUGAUUAGCUUGUUGGUGAGGUAAAGGCUCACCAAGGCUUCGAUCAGUAGCUGGUCUGAGAGGAUGAUCAGCCACACUGGGACUGAGACACGGCCCAGACUCCUACGGGAGGCAGCAGUGGGGAAUUUUCCGCAAUGGGCGAAAGCCUGACGGAGCAACGCCGCGUGAGGGACGAAGGCCUCUGGGCUGUAAACCUCUUUUCUCAAGGAAGAAGAUAUGACGGUACUUGAGGAAUAAGCCACGGCUAAUUCCGUGCCAGCAGCCGCGGUAAUACGGGAGUGGCAAGCGUUAUCCGGAAUUAUUGGGCGUAAAGCGUCCGCAGGCGGCCUUUCAAGUCUGCUGUUAAAGCGUGGAGCUUAACUCCAUCAUGGCAGUGGAAACUGAUAGGCUUGAGUAUGGUAGGGGCAGAGGGAAUUCCCGGUGUAGCGGUGAAAUGCGUAGAUAUCGGGAAGAACACCAGUGGCGAAGGCGCUCUGCUGGGCCAUAACUGACGCUCAUGGACGAAAGCCAGGGGAGCGAAAGGGAUUAGAUACCCCUGUAGUCCUGGCCGUAAACGAUGAACACUAGGUGUCGGGGGAAUCGACCCCUUCGGUGUCGUAGCUAACGCGUUAAGUGUUCCGCCUGGGGAGUACGCACGCAAGUGUGAAACUCAAAGGAAUUGACGGGGGCCCGCACAAGCGGUGGAGUAUGUGGUUUAAUUCGAUGCAACGCGAAGAACCUUACCAGGGCUUGACAUCCUGCGAACCUUUAAGAAAUUAAAGGGUGCCUUCGGGAACGCAGUGACAGGUGGUGCAUGGCUGUCGUCAGCUCGUGUCGUGAGAUGUUGGGUUAAGUCCCGCAACGAGCGCAACCCACGUUUUUAGUUGCCAGCAUUUAGUUGGGCACUCUAGAAAGACCGCCGGUGAUAAACCGGAGGAAGGUGUGGAUGACGUCAAGUCAUCAUGCCCCUUACGUCCUGGGCUACACACGUACUACAAUGCUACGGACAAAGGGCAGCAAACUCGCGAGAGCUAGCAAAUCCCAUAAACCGUGGCUCAGUUCAGAUCGUAGGCUGCAACUCGCCUACGUGAAGUAGGAAUCGCUAGUAAUCGCAGGUCAGCAUACUGCGGUGAAUACGUUCCCGGGCCUUGUACACACCGCCCGUCACACCAUGGAAGUUGGCCACGCCCGAAGUCGUUACUUUAACCCUUGUGGAGAAGGACGCCGAAGGUGGGGCUGAUGACUGGGGUGAAGUCGUAACAAGGUAGCCGUACCGGAAGGUGCGGCUG
This 1465-nucleotide ribosomal RNA is filed under the name Prochlorococcus sp. AG-363-B05. RNAcentral's name for it is "bacterial SSU rRNA". It matches the Rfam family "Bacterial small subunit ribosomal RNA". The record is from RNAcentral. Lineage: Bacteria; Bacillati; Cyanobacteriota; Cyanophyceae; Synechococcales; Prochlorococcaceae.